AUGGUUCCGGUGAAUUUCGGGGAUUCGUCGUCGAUUCCCCCAGUGGAUGCGGUGGUGCCAAUAGCAAUGGCUCCUCGGUUACUCUGCUUCCUCUUCCUCCUCCUGCAGCUGUUGCUCUUCCCCCGCGUCGCCGCCAUCGUCCUCGCCGCAACCCCCGUCCUGCUUCUCGCCGCCUUCCUCCUCGCCCUCGUCCUCGUCUACAGCGAGCCCAACAACAAUAAUGAGCCCGACCAUCUGAUUCCGAUCAGGAUCAGGUCGCGCAAUCCCCAUGCCCAUGACCAUACCUCCUCCUGCACCGCCUCCGGAUCAUCGGACGACGACGACGACGCCCAAGACUCGGACUCGGAGUCGGUCUCGGAGCCUGCCGAUGAUGAGAAGGCUGCGGUGUGGACGGCAGAGGACGAGAAAAGCAUCCAGAACAUCGGCUCGCUGGAGCUGGAGAGGAAUGCCGCUGUGGAGAAGCUCAUGUCCUCAAGAAGCAUGCACCGCUACUACGCCGCCGACCGCGACCUCAUCGACCUCGACCUCGACGGCGAUGGCCACCAGCUGCCCCCCGGCUCCGCUCCCUCCAUGCACCGCAACCCCUUCUUCUUCCACGAUGACCAACAAGCAGCAGCGUCAACGGCGAAGCUGUUCAGCCGACACGAGAGCUUCAGGCCAUACUUCGUCGCCGACAAGCACUUCGCCACUGCCGACAAGACGCAGCAGCCGGUCGUCCUCGAGAGCAGCGGUGGCGGAGGCUCUUCCUCGUCUUCGUCUUCGUCUUCCUCUGCCAGCGGCGACCGUGCCGGCCAGCAUAUGAAGCAAGAAGCCGUGGCUGACUUUUCCUCCAGCCCCAAGGCCAUGGUGGUGACGGUGGAUGCAGAGCUCCCCAACCCCAAGUCCAUGGUAACGGUGGAUGUAGAGCUCAUCAGCGACUCCUCGGAUGAUGACGACGACGACAUCAUGUCGUUGCCCGGCCAGCAAAUAACUAAG
RNAcentral lists this long non-coding RNA (975 nucleotides) under Oryza sativa aus subgroup. RNAcentral describes it as "lncRNA OsNaBo_03g0041990". Lineage: Eukaryota; Viridiplantae; Streptophyta; Magnoliopsida; Poales; Poaceae. The record is from RNAcentral.